UUUUGUCUGCCCAAGCUAAGUUGUCUGUUUGGUUGACAAGGAGGAACCGGGUCAGGGGGUUUCAGGUCCGAUUGUGAUUGGGGUUUGAGGUAUGGUGAGCCGCUCGGGAUUGGCUGGCGGAGGUUAUGGCCACGCCCAUAUCAUUUGCAGCAACACACAGCACCUGGGAAGGAAACAGGAAAGACAGGGACAGCACAAAACACAACAGAAGACGUAACACCACAGUCCUCUCUCUGCCAAUAGAUGAUACCACAGUCCUCUCUGUGUCAAUAGUUGUUACUGCAAACAUACAAGCUGAAACAAUAUUGAACAAAGAGAGAGGCAACAGGGAAUCUAUAUAGAUGUGGUGAGACAAUAGGGAACAGGUGUGCGUAAUAGAACAAGACAGUACAGGGAAGUGUUAAAAUGCAGCAGGGAAACUAGACGAUGACUGCUAGAAAGCUGUCGAAGCAGAACGAUAUGACUGUGAUGUGAACUGGGAUACGUGGUCAUAAGCGGAUCUGUGACACAUACUUUGCAUUUAACACACCUGUACUUUCACUUUUGUUUCGGUUCAACUCCCGUGUGAUUGGCUGUCUUCUACAUAAAGGAGAAACGGCACUCACAUAAGCUACAUUUUAUCUUUCGAACCGAACAUUUAUGUUUACUACCAAUUUGGAACCUAUUUUAUCCUUUGUUCACAGGUACCCACACUAAAUUAACAUUUAAACCAUGGAAUUUCUGGAGUCAACAAAGACGGACCUGUGCCAGUGGUUAUCAACAGAUGCUCAGUAUAUCAUUGACAAGUGUCAAGAUAUUUUAUCUGUUAAACAAGGAAAGGCUGUGUGCAACCAAGACACUGAUGAAAAGAAGAUCAGCAUGCUGUUGAAAUUUAUCAUGGAAAGGGGAGAGGAAACAUGUGAGGAGUUCCUUGAGAUUCUGAAGAAUGAGCAGAAGCAUUACCCGAGCCUUCAACAGCAUUUCAGCAACAGCAUGCACGGUCCAACAGUAUAUGCGGAUUGCAACAGCAUCGUUGACACCCGACAAGUCACCAACGUCCAUGUUAAAAAAGACUUAAACAUGGAUGCAACUGUUCAAGCAGGAGAGAUGAAUCCAUCUGGAUUCAACCACAGCCAACCACCCCCACGUGCAAAUAUGUUUGCAACCAAUAACAGUAAUAUAAUUUCACCAGGAAUAUCAAACUGUAAAGUUUAUGGAGACUUCAAUAUGUCUUUAGGACAGGCCCCACCCUCAAAUGGCCCAACAUUCCAGGUAUGCCACUGCCUCUACCCGUGGGGGAGUCUGGGGAGGAGCUUCUGCCUCCAACCGCGGAAGGUUUCGGAGGAGUUUCUGCCUCUGCCCGCGGAGGGGUUCAGCGAUGUCACCGGUGCCGUGCCGGCUGUUUCGUUACGUUCUUAUGUUAUAUUCAUUUUAGUUCUAAUUUGUCUGUUUCUAUGUUCUGUUUGGUUUCCCCUGUGCCUCGCCUAACCCUGCGGAGGGGUACGGCGAGGAGCUUCUGCCUCUGCCCGCGGAGGGGUUCUGCGAGGAGUGUCUGUCUCGGCCCUCUGAGGUGUUUGGCGAGGAGCUUCUGCCUCCGCCCAUGGAGGUGUCCGGGGAGGAGCUUCUCAUCAGGAAUAUCAAACUGUAAAGUUGAUGGCGACGUCAAUAUGUCUUUGAGGCAGGCCCCACUUGUCCAGGUAAGCUUCUGCCUCUGUCUUGGCCCGCGAAGGUGUCCGGCGAGGAGCCCACGGAGGUGUUCAGCGAGGAGCUUCUGCCUCCACCUGCAGAGGUGUCCGGCGAGGAGCCCAUGGAGGGGUUCAGCGAGGAUCUUCUGCCUCUGCCUGCGGAGGUGUCCAGCGAGGAGUCAACGGAGGGGUUCAGCGAGGAUCUUCUGCCUCCACCUGCGGAGGUGUCCCGCGAGGAGUCCACGGAGGGGUUCAGCGAGGAUCUUCUGCCUCCACCUGCAGAGGUGUCCGGCGAGGAGCCCACGGAGGGGUUCAGCGAGGAUCUUCUGCCUCCGCCUGCGGAGGUGUCCAGCGAGGAGUCCACGGAGGGGUUCAGCGAGGAUCUUCUGCCUCCACCUGCAGAGGUGUCCGGCGAGGAGCCCACGGAGGGGUUCAGCGAGGAUCUUCUGCCUCCGCCUGCGGAGGUGUCCAGCGAGGAGCCCACAGAGGGGUUCAGCGAGGAUCUUCUGCCUCCAUCUGUGGAGGGGUUCGGCCAGGAGCUUCUGCCUCCGCCUGCAGAGGUGUCCGAGGAGGAUCUAGAUUUAGCGACUUUUCAGACCCCCUUAGCAACUUUUUGUGGUGUUAUUGGAGACUUGUUCUUACUCUUCUCAGCGAGCAGCGGGUGCCGCCGUGGGCCCCUCCCCUAUCUGAAAGCACUCACAGGUGGCCCAGUCCUCGCACAGCUGUUCCUCUGAGCUGCAGUCAGAGCAGGAGAUGUUAACUCCUCCGCGUCCAGACUGAAAAUGAAUCGCGCAUGCGGGAAGCCCCCGCUGGCUUUUCCUGGCCGUAAUGUAAAAUUUAAAUGUUCUUUGUCUAAAAUAAAUCAUUGCUGAUGGGAAAUUAUGCAAAUUAGGCAAUGACGUCAUUUUGCGACUUCUAGCGACUUUUAGGACAGCCAAUAGCGACUUGCCUUACUGAGGAUUUGGCAACAAUGUGCGGAGGGGUUCGGCGAGGAGCUUCUGCCUCCGCUUGCGGAGGGUUCCCGUGGAAUGCACAAUGGAAUGCAAGAUAGCCUUAUCAUAAAAGCUGAAGGCACAGACGUGUCAAUCAUGCUUUUGAAUUUUAAAUAAACAUUAUUGUAACAGAAUGUCAUUUUUUCUUCUAAGGUAGUAUUUCUUCAUGUAAUAUUUAAUAAAAGAUGAAUAACUGAAUUACUGCUUAUUUAAAAAACCCAACCACUUAUUAGAAUAAACUUAUUCUGUAGGGCCUUGUGAUGGAAGCUAUUGUUGGGAGUAAAUUGGAACUUAUUGACUUGGGUUAAAGCAAGCAAGCAUGUUUUAUUUAUAUAGCACAAACCAGGACCUUCAGCAUGCACUGGGACGGUUUGCAGCCGAGUGUGAAGCGGUGGGGAUGAGAAUCAGUACCUCCAAAUCCGAGGCCAUGGUCCUGUCGGAAAAGGGUGGCUUGCCCACUUCAGGUUGGUGGAGAGUGCCUGCCUCAAGUGGAGGAGUUUAAGUAUCUAGGGGUCUUGUUCACGAGUGAGGGAAGGAUGGAACGGGAGAUUGACAGACGGAUCGGUGCAGCUUCUGCAGUAAUGCGGUCGAUGUAUCGGUUUGGUCGUGGUGAAGAAAGAGCUGAGCCGCAAGGCGAAGCUCUUGAUUUACCGGUCAAUCUACGUUCCUACUCUCACCUAUGGUCAUGAGCUUUGGGUCAUGACCGAAAGGACAAGAUCCCGGAUACAGGUGGCCGAAAUGAGCUUUCUCCGCAGGGUGGCUGGGUGAUCCCUUAGAGAUAGGGUGAGAAGCUUGGUCUCCCGGGAGGAGCUCAAAGUAGAGUCGCUGCUCCGCCACAUCGAGAGGGGUCAGCUGAGGUGGCUUGGGCACCUGUUUCUAAUGCCUCUGGAACGCCUUCCUGGGAAGGUGUUCCGGUCCCGUCCCACUGGGA
Long non-coding RNA from Esox lucius (northern pike), 3587 nucleotides. Lineage: Eukaryota; Metazoa; Chordata; Actinopteri; Esociformes; Esocidae. The record is from Ensembl.